GAUCAACGCUGGCGGCGUGCCUAACGCAUGUAAGUCGUGCGGGCUGCCUUCGGGCAGCCAGCGGCGAACGGCUGAGGAACACGUACGAACCUGCCCGCGCGUGGGGAAUAACGCGCCGAAAGGCGUGCUAAUACCGCAUGUGACCGUUCAUUCUAUUUGGAACGAUACAAAGCAGUAAUGCGUCGUUUGGGGACGGGGCCUGCGUCCGAUUAGCUCGUUGGGUGGGUAAUGGCUCACCGAGGCGACGAUCGGUAGGUGGUCUGAGA
This 266-nucleotide ribosomal RNA is filed under the name uncultured bacterium. Its description in RNAcentral is "partial 16S ribosomal RNA". It matches the Rfam family "Bacterial small subunit ribosomal RNA", at positions 28 to 297 of the family's 1533-position model. The record is from RNAcentral.